UACGUAGGGGGCUAGCGUUGUCCGGAAUCAUUGGGCGUAAAGAGCGUGUAGGCGGCUUGGUAAGUCCGCUGUGAAAGUCCAGGGCUCAACCCCUGGAAUGCCAGUGGAUACUGUCAAGCUAGAGUCCGGAAGAGGCGAGUGGAAUUCCUGGUGUAGCGGUGAAAUGCGCAGAUAUCAGGAGGAACACCAAUGGCGAAGGCAGCUCGCUGGGACGGUACUGACGCUGAGACGCGAAAGCGUGGGGAGGCAAACAGG
This 255-nucleotide ribosomal RNA is filed under the name uncultured bacterium. RNAcentral's name for it is "partial 16S ribosomal RNA". It matches the Rfam family "Bacterial small subunit ribosomal RNA", at positions 524 to 776 of the family's 1533-position model. The record is from RNAcentral.